This 311-nucleotide ribosomal RNA is filed under the name uncultured eukaryote. RNAcentral describes it as "partial 18S ribosomal RNA". It matches the Rfam family "Eukaryotic small subunit ribosomal RNA", at positions 1470 to 1796 of the family's 1831-position model. The record is from RNAcentral.
CCCCUAGACGUUCUGGGCUGCACGCGCGCUACAAUAAUACGCACAGCGAGUAUCACCGAGCUCGAAAGGGCAAGGUAAACAAUAGAAAAGGUACUGUAAUGGUUAUAGAUCCUUGUAAUUAUUGAUCUUCAACGAGGAAUUCCUAGUAAGUAUGUGUCAUCAUCACGCACUGAUUACGUCCCUGCCCUUUGUACACACCGCCCGUCGCUCCUACCGAUUGAGUGAGCCGAUGAAACUGCCGGAUGUGGACUAUUCAUAGUCUGCAGAAGAUAUUUGAAUCGUAGCGCUCAGAGGAAGGAGAAGUCGUAACA